RNAcentral lists this ribosomal RNA (253 nucleotides) under uncultured bacterium. Its description in RNAcentral is "partial 16S ribosomal RNA". It matches the Rfam family "Bacterial small subunit ribosomal RNA", at positions 524 to 776 of the family's 1533-position model. The record is from RNAcentral.
UACGUAGGAUGCAAGCGUUGUUCGGAAUUAUUGGGUGUAAAGGGCGCGUAGGUGGCUUGACAAGUCACGGGUGAAAGCCCUCGGCUCAACCGAGGAAUUGCCUGUGAUACUGUCGAGCUUGAGUACGGGAGAGGGAAGUGGAAUUCCUGGUGUAGCGGUGAAAUGCGUAGAUAUCAGGAGGAACACCGGUGGCGAAGGCGGCUUCCUGGACCGAUACUGACACUGAGGCGCGAAAGCGUGGGUAGCAAACAGG